This 255-nucleotide ribosomal RNA is filed under the name uncultured bacterium. Its description in RNAcentral is "partial 16S ribosomal RNA". It matches the Rfam family "Bacterial small subunit ribosomal RNA", at positions 524 to 778 of the family's 1533-position model. The record is from RNAcentral.
UACAGAGGUCCCAAGCGUUGUUCGGAUUCACUGGGCGUAAAGGGUGCGUAGGUGGUGAGGUAAGUCGGAUGUGAAAGCUCGGAGCUCAACUCCGAAAUGGCAUUGGAAACUACCUUGCUCGAGGGUUGGAGGGGGGACUGGAAUACUUGGUGUAGCAGUGAAAUGCGUAGAUAUCAAGCGGAACACCAGUGGCGAAGGCGAGUCCCUGGACAACACCUGACACUGAGGCACGAAAGCUAGGGGAGCAAACAGGAU